This 253-nucleotide ribosomal RNA is filed under the name uncultured bacterium. RNAcentral describes it as "partial 16S ribosomal RNA". It matches the Rfam family "Bacterial small subunit ribosomal RNA", at positions 524 to 776 of the family's 1533-position model. The record is from RNAcentral.
UACGGGGGGGGCAAGCGUUGUUCGGAAUUACUGGGCGGAAAGGGCUUGUAGGCGGCCAACUAAGUCAGACGUGAAAUCCCUCGGCUUAACCGGGGAACUGCGUCUGAUACUGGAUGGCUUGAGUUCGGGAGAGGGAUGCGGAAUUCCAGGUGUAGCGGUGAAAUGCGUAGAUAUCUGGAGGAACACCGGUGGCGAAGGCGGCAUCCUGGACCGACACUGACGCUGAAAAGCGAAAGCCAGGGGAGCAAACGGG